RNAcentral lists this ribosomal RNA (492 nucleotides) under Fusitriton laudandus. RNAcentral describes it as "partial 16S ribosomal RNA". It matches the Rfam family "Bacterial large subunit ribosomal RNA", at positions 1845 to 2598 of the family's 2925-position model. RNAcentral also lists the same sequence under 1 other name. The record is from RNAcentral. Lineage: Eukaryota; Metazoa; Mollusca; Gastropoda; Littorinimorpha; Ranellidae.
AUAAGGAGUCGGACCUGCCCAGUGAAUUAUUUUAAACGGCCGCGGUACUCUGACCGUGCAAAGGUAGCAUAAUCAUUUGCCCUAUAAUUGAGGGCUAGUAUGAAUGGUUUGACAAGAAUAAAACUGUCUCCCUGUAAUUAUAUGGAAUUUUAUCAUUAGGUGAAGAAGCCUAAAUAAAAUCAAAAGACAAGAAGACCCCGUCGAGCUUGAAAGAAAUUAAUAAGUUAAAAAUAUAUAUUCUUAAAAAAUUAUUUGUUAAAAAUUUUGGUUGGGGCGACUAAGGAACAAAUAAAGCUUCUUUUAAAUUUCGUGUCACGCACAGGUAUUGAUCCAAGAAAGUUGAUUAAAGAAAUUAGUUACCGCGGGGAUAACAGCAUUAUCUUUUUUGAGAGCUCAUAUCGAAAAAAAGGUUUGUGACCUCGAUGUUGGACCAGAAUAUCCCAAAGAUGCAGAAGUCUUUAAAGGUUGGUCUGUUCGACCAUUAAAAUUCUA